RNAcentral lists this ribosomal RNA (253 nucleotides) under uncultured bacterium. RNAcentral's name for it is "partial 16S ribosomal RNA". It matches the Rfam family "Bacterial small subunit ribosomal RNA", at positions 524 to 776 of the family's 1533-position model. The record is from RNAcentral.
UACAGAGGUCUCAACCGUUGUUCGGAUUCAUUGGGCGUAAAGGGUGCGUAGGCGGUCGCGCAAGUCGGAUGUGAAAUCUCAGGGCUCAACCCUGAAACUGCAUUCGAUACUGCGUGGCUAGAGUGCUGGAGAGGAGACUGGAAUUUACGGUGUAGCAGUGAAAUGCGUAGAUAUCGUAAGGAAGACCAGUGGCGAAGGCGAGUCUCUGGACAACAACUGACGCUGAGGCACGAAGGCCAGGGGAGCAAACGGG